UUCAGUACGUACAUCAUUAUCAGUAAAACACACAUCAGUUUUGCGUAUAAAUGCCAUCGAAAUUUUCAUGUUCCACAUAGUGUUGCUCGAAUUGUUGCAUCGAACAAUUGAAUUAAAUUAAUCGAAAAGCAGCAAAAUGAAGAUUAUCUUAUUUACGAUUUGCGUCUUGAUGGCCAUUCAUACUUGUGCAAGUCUGUUGCGACCUGCAGCUUAUUAUGACAGCGUGGUAACCUGUUUCAAAAAUAGUACUUUAAACCAAAUUUCAGGUUUCGAUAAGAGUUCUGGCAAUUUGCAAAACAUCUUGAAAAAUGAAUUCAAUAUCUUCGUCGAUGCUUCCAACUGCGCAUUGAAGAAAGAUGGUGUAAUCAGUCAAGAAGAUAAAAUGAUUAGAAGUGACUUAAACGAAUAUUGUUCAAAAGUUUUUCUGAGUUCUUCAAAUAUACUAAGAUGUCAAAAGAUCAUCAAGCAUUGCACUGAUUUAGAAUGUGGUGGUCCAGUUUGUACUUUCGAGGAAAUAAAACGAUACAUAAAGUGUGCAAUAGAUAAUAAAAUAUUGUCGUUUCUCGAAUUUCCAUUAUCAUUAAUUUAAAUACAGAAUGAAGUAUAUAAAAGCAAAUUGUAUGAGUAGCAUUUAUUAGAAAUUGAUCCAGUGAUUGACUAAUACUGAUUCGCACAGUAAAAGCGCUUUAAUUAAAUGAUGUAGUAAAAUACUGAUUCUCGUGGUGGAAAACUUACAAUUAUCUAAUCAGUAGAUAUUUUAAUCGUCAGUUCAAUAUACUGAUUCUACUUGAGAGAGUAGGAAAGUAACUCAUUUGUCAUGUGCUUGUCGUUGACAAACUAGUGCUGUUGAGUACUUGACACUUUACAUUUGUUAUUUUAUUUUUAAAUGUGUAAUGUAAAAAUAUAUAUAUAUAUAUAUAAAAUUGCGUAUACAAUAAAAACCUAUGUGAAAAAAUAGCUAAUACAAUA
This is an RNA transcript of Pseudomyrmex gracilis, 969 nucleotides long. RefSeq lists it as uncharacterized. The record is from RefSeq and is a predicted model, not a curated record. The transcript has 6 exons. Lineage: Eukaryota; Metazoa; Arthropoda; Insecta; Hymenoptera; Formicidae.